Molecule: long non-coding RNA, 323 nt
Organism: Dermacentor albipictus
Lineage: Eukaryota; Metazoa; Arthropoda; Arachnida; Ixodida; Ixodidae
Source: RefSeq, a predicted model, not a curated record
AGAGAACGGUCCAGGAUUCCUCAUCUGAAUGACAAUGAAGCUGAUGGUGAUACUCCUAGCCAUUGCCAUUUCCGGUCUUUUGGUUCCAGACACAACAGCUUCGCGAGCUGGUGAGAUAUCUGGAGGAGCGUCCGAAGAAGCUCUGCGCUCUGACGGAAGUUCGGAAGACGCCCGUUACAGUGAAUGUAUAUCUUGCGUAAACAACGUCUGCAAAGUGUCACCGAACUGUCAAUAAUUCCUAACCUUGAAAAAAUGUAUUGGCGACAGCAACGCAGCCUUGGCUACUAUUCGGAAGCAGCAGCAGAGUUCCUGAACCACACCUG